UCCGGAUGGACGCCAAACUCUGCCGCUACCCGGAUUUCCUCAUGAUCAGGCAGAGGCGGGGGACCCAGGUCUCCGGGCAUUCUGCAUAGCCGCCCUUGGGGUGAAGCCGACACGUGAAGUUCCGUGCGGCCGGAUGACCUCAUCCGAACCCGACAGCUAACUCCGCCGGCAUCGAGAGGCAACCA
Molecule: small RNA, 185 nt
Filed under: Arthrobacter sp.
Lineage: Bacteria; Bacillati; Actinomycetota; Actinomycetes; Micrococcales; Micrococcaceae
Description: c-di-AMP sequence
Rfam family: c-di-AMP riboswitch aptamer (ydaO/yuaA leader)
About the family: This family represents a conserved RNA structure found upstream of the ydaO and yuaA genes in Bacillus subtilis and related genes in other bacteria. The ydaO/yuaA element is thought to act as a genetic "off" switch for the ydaO and yuaA genes in its native state.
Source: RNAcentral